GGACAGUGGAUGAACCACAGUGAGAACGGCAUGAGGCGGGAAUGCCCGCGGAGGCGCAGGUGCUCACGCACCGCAGACACCUCCCUAUGGCCUUUGAGUCCCUCUCAGCUAAGUAAACGAUGCUGGAGAGUGCUCUUCCCAGGAAGGGUGCCACGAGGUCUCUGCACAGCGUCGCUGCCAUAGAGGGCCCAACUCCGGACAAAGGGAAUGGAACAGGAAGAGGAAUUCUGACGGGGUCUUUCGCCUGCUGGGGCUGCUGCCCCACCGUGCAGUGCCACGCCCGGGAGGCUCAGCCCGCAGAGAACUGCUUCUCACGCCAUGGGGCUGCGAGCCAGCGUCAGGGGCCGGCCGGGCUGCUCUCGGCUUGCAGGCGGCCUCUUCCUCGCCGCGUCCUCACAGGGCCUGUCGGUGUGUGUGUCCGCGCGCGCUCAGGCCACCAAUCCUUUCGAAUGAGGACCCCACCCUAAGACCUCGUUACUUCCUAAAAUCCCGACCUCCAAAUGCAGUCACUCGGGGCGUUAGGGCUUCAACAUAUGAAUUUGUUGCGGCUCAGUCCACAGAACCCCUCAAAGAACGGGAAGGGGAACCCUGCUCAGCCCAACGCGAUCUUGUCCCUGCCGCAUCCUCCGAGGGGAGCAUUGAAGCGAUUCAAUGUCUCUGCUGGAAUGUUCUCUCUCUGGAAGGGCCUCCAGGAGCCCCCCACUCCAGGGGGCUCACUGAAAUUCUCCAGCAAGAUAGCCUGUUUAUUUUCUUCUUGGUGCUUAUGAAACUCUUUGAUGUUUGUUCACGUGGAAUUUUUCUGACUCUUCUCUGGAAAAUCAGCUCCACAAGGGUGAGAGCCUCCUCUGUUCUGUUCAAGUGCUGUCUCCUUGCAUAUGUUAAUAUUAAAUAACAUUAAGACAGCCACAUGUGGACAGCAGGAACCUAUGGGAUAGAUCAGAUAUAAAAUGUUUCUAUCACGGCAGAAAGUUCUAUUGGGCAGCGCUGAUUUGCCUCAGAUUCUUGAAUGAAGCAAUGACUCAACAAGUGACCCCAGCGUCCCUACAACUCAUGCUCACCUGCUGGGUUGAGAUUAGGCUCUGGGCUGCGGACCCCAGGAGGUUUUCUAGGGCUAAAUUUAACCAAGUUCGAAAAUGACACACUGCUCUUCACAGCAAAUGGAGAACUGAAUAUAUUGCCUUAUGUUUAAGGUGGCUCUGGACAGGAUUGAUUCCCAUGUCACAAUGAGAGGCGAAGCCAGCUGGACUUCCUGGGUAAUGUGGGGACUUGGAGAACUUUUCUGUCUUACAAGUGGUUUGUAAAAUGCACCGAUCAGGCCAGGCAUGGUGGCUCAUGCCUGUAAUCCCAACACUUUGGGAGGCUGAGGCGGGUGGAUCACGAGGUCAGGAGAUCGAGACCAUCCUGGCUAACAUGGUGAAACCCUGUCUCACUAAAAAUACAAAAAAUUAGCCGGGCUUGGUGACGGGCGCCUGUAGUCCCAGCUACUCGGGAGGCUGAGGCAGGAGAAUGGCGUGAACCUGGGAGGCGGAGCUUGCAGUGAGCAGAGAUGACACCACUGCACUCCAGCCUGGGUGACACAGCAAGGCUGUCUC
This 1592-nucleotide long non-coding RNA is filed under the name Homo sapiens (human). Its description in RNAcentral is "HSALNT0198154". Lineage: Eukaryota; Metazoa; Chordata; Mammalia; Primates; Hominidae. The record is from RNAcentral.